UGUGGAAGCUCUUUCUUCCCCAGCCCACUCUGUGCAUCACUUCCAUCUGUUCCCGAACUGUAUCCUUUAAUAAUAAACGGUGAAUCUAGUCGAAAAGGAACGGGGAUCAGUUUGCUGUUGUCAGGAUGCACUGUUGACUUCACAAGAGCAAACACAAGGAGUUUCCAUGAGGAUAGUCCCGUGUGGCACUCAGAUCCAGAGCUCCUAGCUUCCCAG
Prionailurus viverrinus (fishing cat) is the source of this 216-nucleotide long non-coding RNA. RefSeq lists it as uncharacterized. The transcript is spliced from 3 exons. NCBI's taxonomy places the organism in Eukaryota, Metazoa, Chordata, Mammalia, Carnivora, Felidae. The record is from RefSeq and is a predicted model, not a curated record.